This is a long non-coding RNA of Chionomys nivalis (European snow vole), 931 nucleotides long. RefSeq lists it as uncharacterized. NCBI's taxonomy places the organism in Eukaryota, Metazoa, Chordata, Mammalia, Rodentia, Cricetidae. The record is from RefSeq and is a predicted model, not a curated record. The transcript is spliced from 4 exons.
AAGGCACAGCCAUUAUCAGGGUCUCUUUGGCAAAGUAAAAGUAGAGCUCAAGGGACCUCAUGCAACAGCAAUGAAAUACUCCAGCUUGGAGGUGACUCUUGCUGCGUCUACAAUUCUUUGGCUAGCACUAGUCAUGUGUGUAAGAGUAACUGUGUCUGAGGAAGAAGGACCUGGAAUUCUGACCUUACACCAUGGCCUCCUUGACAGAACCCCAGCAACAGCAGCAAGCAUAAAGGUCCUGAAGCCGGACUGUGCUGGGCAUUCAGGAAACAGCACCAGGCAGUGGUGGCUGCAACACCCAGAACAAAGAGGAUACAGUGAAGGAGGCAAUUGAGAGGAGGACUGGAACAAGGUCCCCAUUCUGAACCACCACAGAAACAAUUUACACAACUCCCAGGGCAGUUGAAGCACCGACCUGAGGUCCUUAUCACCAGUGGAAGAAGCUGAGGAUGACAAGGGAAGGGACCACCUCAUGCCUGGGAAGGUGCUAUCUGGAUGACAUUCACUUGGACUUCUCCCUUCUUUGGAUUUGCUUGGAAAUCAGUCCAAAAUCAGAAGGAAUUAACAUCCUUCCAGGUCAGAUUGAAUAUGGUAUUUAUUAUCCUUUUGGCCCUUCUUCACAUUGGUCACGUGACAUCACUCAAACUGUGGUGAGAAGAUAAAGAAGCAUUGUCAACCCCAGGCACCUCCUCAAACCUUUCUGGAGAGAAGAUGCCAGAUGGAGUACUGGGAGGGAAGGAUUACAGCCAUCCUUGGCUGAUAUGGUGGCUGGAUUCCGAUACAAUCGGUGCUUAGAAAAUUAAAUCAUAAUUAAAGAAGACUUGGAGGCAGUGAAACCUUAUUCUUCAAACUCCUUCCCCUGGCAAAAUACAAUUCUAAGUGCAUCGAGGUUCACUGUGAUGUGUAGACAUUGGAGUCUGGCUAAUUUCAC